AAAACUAGAAUUAUAUUAGUAAACAAAGCCAAAAAAAAAGAGGCAAUCCUUUGUUAAAGGUAGAAAUGAACUAUUCUGUUUUCAAAAGUUUGAUUCUUGCUUUAAUUUACAAGUUAAUUUUUUUUUGUAUAGGAUACUAAAAUAUUUUCUUUUAACCUAGUUAAAAAUAUUUUGUCAUAGGGUAACACCGGAAAAAGAGAAACUAAGUUUAGAAAAAUAGGUGCCAGCAACUGCGGUUAAACCUAAAAAAAAGUAAAUAAAUUUAAGUAAAGUAUAAUAAAACAUAAAGAAAAACCUAAAAGAGUAAAAUCUGAAAUAGAUUAAAAAUAUAAACAAAACUUUUAAAUUCAAGCAAAAAACAAGGAUUAGAUACCCUUCUAUUACGAACCUGAAUAACUUAAGAUAUUAAAGGAUAUAACCCUCAAACCUAAAGAAUUUGGCGGUCUUUGAUAAAAUAAGAGGAAUUUGUUUUAUAAUCGAUGGUCCCCGAAAAACCUCACCUUUAUUUAAUUGUGCCUGUAUACCGCCGUCUAAAAAUAUUACAAAAUAUAUUUUAAAUAAAUUAAUCUAAUGUGUCAGGUCAAGGUGCAGCUAAUAGUAAGGAAAAAAUGAAUUACAAUAUAAUCAUGUAUAGAAAAGGUAUUUAAAACACCUUACAAAAGAGGAUUUUAAAGUAAUAUAAAAUUUAGAAUGAUUAUAUGACUUUAAUAGUCAAAGAUGCACAUAUCGCCCGUCACUUUCUUAUAGAAAUAAGUCGUAACAUAGUAGAUCCAUCGGAAGAUGGAUCUUUAACUAA
Molecule: ribosomal RNA, 796 nt
Filed under: Dimorphostylis asiatica
Lineage: Eukaryota; Metazoa; Arthropoda; Malacostraca; Cumacea; Diastylidae
Description: 12S ribosomal RNA
Source: RNAcentral